This 74-nucleotide transfer RNA is filed under the name Candidatus Yanofskybacteria bacterium RIFCSPHIGHO2_12_FULL_45_19b. Its description in RNAcentral is "tRNA-Pro". It matches the Rfam family "tRNA". From Rfam's summary of the family: Transfer RNA (tRNA) molecules are approximately 80 nucleotides in length. Their secondary structure includes four short double-helical elements and three loops (D, anti-codon, and T loops). RNAcentral also lists the same sequence under 1 other name. Lineage: Bacteria; Candidatus Yanofskyibacteriota. The record is from RNAcentral.
CGGGCUGUAGUGUACCGGCAACACGUCUGCAUGGGGUGCAGAAAAUUUACGGGGUUCGACUCCCCGCAGCCCGA